AACAGGAGGAAGAACCGGAAGAGGUGGAAGAGUUGGAAUUGUUGGAACCGGUGGGAGAGUUGGUGUUGCCGGGGGAGAAGGAAGUAGCGGAAUCGGUGGUAGAGUUGGUGUUGCUGGAGGAGAGGGAAGUAGGGGAAUUGGAGGGAGAGUUGGGGGAGACGGGAUCAACGGGUUUGGAGGAAGAGUUGGGGUUGGGAUAGAAGGGAUCAGAGGGUUUGGAGGGAUGACGGAUGGCGGGUUUAGCGGGUUUGGAGGAAGGAAGAAGAAAUCGGGUUUUAGCACUUCGGUUUUCUUGUCUUCCAAGGAACCAUAUUUCUUGCUAUGCAAGGAAGCUGAUUUCC
This 341-nucleotide long non-coding RNA is filed under the name Capsella grandiflora. RNAcentral's name for it is "long non-coding RNA (CGRA_LNC001529)". Lineage: Eukaryota; Viridiplantae; Streptophyta; Magnoliopsida; Brassicales; Brassicaceae. The record is from RNAcentral.